RNAcentral lists this ribosomal RNA (451 nucleotides) under uncultured bacterium. RNAcentral describes it as "partial 16S ribosomal RNA". It matches the Rfam family "Bacterial small subunit ribosomal RNA", at positions 354 to 796 of the family's 1533-position model. The record is from RNAcentral.
GUGGGGAAUAUUGGACAAUGGGGGGAACCCUGAUCCAGCCAUGCCGCGUGUGUGAAGAAGGCCUUUUGGUUGUAAAGCACUUUAAGCGAGGAGGAGGCUACCGAGAUUAAUACUCUUGGAUAGUGGACGUUACUCGCAGAAUAAGCACCGGCUAACUCUGUGCCAGCAGCCGCGGUAAUACAGAGGGUGCAAGCGUUAAUCGGAUUUACUGGGCGUAAAGCGCGCGUAGGUGGCCAAUUAAGUCAAAUGUGAAAUCCCCGAGCUUAACUUGGGAAUUGCAUUCGAGACUGGUUGGCUAGAGUAUGGGAGAGGAUGGUAGAAUUCCAGGUGUAGCGGUGAAAUGCGUAGAGAUCUGGAGGAAUACCGAUGGCGAAGGCAGCCAUCUGGCCUAAUACUGACACUGAGGUGCGAAAGCAUGGGGAGCAAACAGGAUUAGAAACCCGUGUAGUCC